Long non-coding RNA from Cavia porcellus (domestic guinea pig), 1095 nucleotides. RefSeq lists it as uncharacterized. NCBI's taxonomy places the organism in Eukaryota, Metazoa, Chordata, Mammalia, Rodentia, Caviidae. The transcript has 3 exons. The record is from RefSeq and is a predicted model, not a curated record.
UUCAAAACCACAAGUACAUCCAAGGGCAGCCAAGACAACAAGAAAGCCAAGAGAUACAGUCUCUGAAAGAGAAGACCAGUUCCCCCUUCCAGAACUGCCUUAUGCCUGGCUCUUAGCAACCAAGGCUCUACUCUCCCCAGAGGGGGUGUCUGAGGCCUUGGACUCAGACAGGAGAUUGACGGCUUCCAUGCAGGAAGAGCUCAGAGGACGCUCAUAGCUGGCACCAACAUUCUCAGGAGGCUGUCUGAGGGGCACAGUGUUGAAGGAAGCCCCUAUAGGACUUUCUGGGUUCUUACGCUAGUGCGGUUAUCCACCAAGGGGUCCGUGAUUAAACAAAAUAAAGGUUACUUCAACACAACCACAACCAUACCACGAGACAAGAGGGCUGCCAAGUAACUUAACAGCUGCUAGAAUGUCUUCAGUGCCAGACCCCGGUGGGCUGCCCAGUUGAUGAGGCCGAAUUUUUCACGACCCUUCUUUAGGUCUUCCAGAGAGAUCUGCAUGGACUUAGCAACAAGACCAAAAGGGCAAACAUGUCCCAGAGUUGUUGGAGGUAUAUGAGCAUUUUACUAUUUCAGACAACUGAAGGAGACAGAAAAGGACUAAUCCUCCAAAAAGUUGUUAGUAAGGAAAGUCAUCAUCUCAGCAAUAUCAGAGAAGAUGUUAUACAUCGUUAGAUAACUGGUGCACAUAUUUCCACCACACUGAAAAUGAUAAGAACAGGCGGAGAUUACUGGAAUUCUUCAGCUGCUAGAAUGUCUUCAGUGCCAGACCCCAGCUGGGCUGCCCAGAUGAUGAGGCCGAAUUUUUCAGGCAAAGACCUGAUGCUUAUAAAUAAAUCAACGUACUGUAAUUAAUGAAGACAGCCCAAAGUUAGGGGUCAGGAGAUGGGCCAUUCUUCCAUACAUCAGUGGGCUCAGCUGCAGAGCAGAGCCACUGGAAUAGCGACUCCACAUGCAUUGUUCCCUAGACGGAUCAGGAACCUGUCUGCCACCAGCAGAGUUACACAAUACCCACUGGGUUCCUGUAAAAUGAGAAUAAAAAAGAAAGGGGAAGCAGAGAGGCAGAGGGCAAUGGUGUAGAAAGAGCAUGAAA